This 214-nucleotide long non-coding RNA is filed under the name Lathyrus oleraceus (garden pea). Its description in RNAcentral is "Pisum sativum (pea) long non-coding RNA (PSAT_LNC015023)". The record is from RNAcentral. Lineage: Eukaryota; Viridiplantae; Streptophyta; Magnoliopsida; Fabales; Fabaceae.
UUUUUUUGUGUUUUUUGAAUCAAUAAAAUACUGAGUUAAGUCAAAAUUAACCUAAUUAAAAUCUAAUUAAAUUAAUCAAAACCUAAACUAAAUUUAAAUUAAAGCCUAAUGAAAUAAGGACCUAUUUAAUUAAUAGCUAAAUGAAAUAACCAAGCUAAAAAUAAAAGGAAAACAUAAAAAUAGCAUAAAAAUGGAGAAUAAAAGAAAAUAAAAA